GUGGCGUUUAAUAAUGUCCCGACACUGCGGAGUGGGUUAUGAGAGACGCCGUUGUGGAUGACUCCGGAUUCGUUUUGGCUUCCUGGGGUUCUUUAACGUGCACCCAAAUCAAGCAGCAACUGGCGGUUUGUCAACGAUUCCUUCAGCUGCGCCUGUUCCACAUGCGAUGCACAUGGCGACCCUCCGGAGAAGGGCGCUUACGAUCCCAAUUGCGAAACGGAGACGCAGUUGUAAAUGGGUCGCAGACUUGACUGCCAACUGCUUUUUGCCAUCCGACAAUGGGUAUUCGCGCGUCCUUGGUCAAUCCCAGCUGCAGAAUGCGUAUGUGGCACUGUGGCCCACAAGAGAAAGAGAAUCCGCAAGCUGGAAUAUUAGAAAAGAAAAUGAAGGUAAAAGUUCUACUUCUUUAAUUUUGUGCUCGUACUUCAGCGCCAGUACGGCAGUGUCACGCCACGAAUUUCAAUGCACGUCAUUUGAGCGGUGGGAGGUACAGCUGACCGGCGAUACCCUGGUGGGACAGGAAGCUCUCGUCCAGCAAGUACGUCGAGCAGCCAUGGCCAGUGGAGUCCUGGAAUGAGGGCACCACCCACUCGACCUCAAGAGUAACCACCUCGAUGGUUCAAAUAAAUGUUCUCUCUUUCUCUCUCUGGGA
This is a long non-coding RNA of Dermacentor albipictus, 652 nucleotides long. RefSeq lists it as uncharacterized. The record is from RefSeq and is a predicted model, not a curated record. NCBI's taxonomy places the organism in Eukaryota, Metazoa, Arthropoda, Arachnida, Ixodida, Ixodidae.